This 215-nucleotide ribosomal RNA is filed under the name Neosycophila sp. 2504_02_1i. RNAcentral describes it as "partial 28S ribosomal RNA". It matches the Rfam family "Eukaryotic large subunit ribosomal RNA", at positions 967 to 1163 of the family's 3401-position model. Lineage: Eukaryota; Metazoa; Arthropoda; Insecta; Hymenoptera; Epichrysomallidae. The record is from RNAcentral.
UUUCCCUCAGGAUAGCUGGCACUCGCUCGAGCGAGUCUCAUCUGGUAAAGCGAAUGAUUAGAGGCCUUGGGGCCGAAACGACCUCAACCUAUUCUCAAACUUUAAAUGGGUGAGAUCUCUGGCUUGCUUGAAAUAUGAAGCCACGAGAUUUAUUUUUUGAAUGGAUCAGAGUGCCAAGUGGGCCAAUUUUGGUAAGCAGAACUGGCGCUGUGGGA